ACGGGGGCCCGCACAAGCGGUGGAGCAUGUGGUUUAAUUCGACGCUACGCGAAGAACCUUACCUGGGUUUGACAUGUUAGUAGUAAAAACCUGAAAAGGGGCUGACCCUGAGGUAACUCAGGGAGCUAACACAGGUGCUGCAUGGCUGUCGUCAGCUCGUGCCGUGAGGUGUUGGGUUAAGUCCCGCAACGAGCGCAACCCUUAUCCUCUGUUGGUCGUAAACGAUCUCUCUGGGGAAACUGCCGGCGAUGAGCUGGAGGAAGGUGGGGAUGACGUCAAGUCAGCAUGGCCCUUAUGUCCAGGGCGACACACGUGCUACAAUGGCUGCUACAGAGGGAUGCAAUACCGUGAGGUGGAGCCAAUCCUUAAAAGCAGUCUCAGUGGGGAUCGGAGUCUGCAAUUCGACUCCGUGAACGCGGAAUCGCUAGUAAUCAUGGAUCAGCCAUGCCAUGGUGCAUACGUUCCCGGGCCUUGUACACACCGCCCGUCACACCACGAAAGCCUGUUGUACCCGAAGC
RNAcentral lists this ribosomal RNA (518 nucleotides) under uncultured Nitrospirota bacterium. RNAcentral's name for it is "bacterial SSU rRNA". It matches the Rfam family "Bacterial small subunit ribosomal RNA", at positions 913 to 1427 of the family's 1533-position model. The record is from RNAcentral. Lineage: Bacteria; Pseudomonadati; Nitrospirota.